CCUACGGGUGGCAGCAGUGAGGAAUAUUGGUCAAUGGUCGGGAGACUGAACCAGCCAAGCCGCGUGAGGGAGGAAGGUACAGAGUAUCGUAAACCUCUUUUGUCAGGGAACAAAGACUGGGACGCGUCCCCGGCUGCGUGUACCUGAAGAAAAAGCAUCGGCUAACUCCGUGCCAGCAGCCGCGGUAAUACGGAGGAUGCGAGCGUUAUCCGGAUUUAUUGGGUUUAAAGGGUGCGCAGGCGGUCUGUUAAGUCAGCGGUCAAAGCCCGGGGCUCAACCCCGGCCCGCCGUUGAAACUGGCAGUCUCGAGUUGGAGAGAAGUAUGCGGAAUGCGCGGUGUAGCGGUGAAAUGCGUAGAUAUUAGGAAGAACACCAGUGGCGAAGGCGGCUUUCUGGACUGAAACUGACGCUGAGGCUCGAAAGCGUGGGGAGCGAACAGGAUUAGAUACCCCUGUAGUC
This 459-nucleotide ribosomal RNA is filed under the name uncultured bacterium. RNAcentral describes it as "partial 16S ribosomal RNA". It matches the Rfam family "Bacterial small subunit ribosomal RNA", at positions 338 to 795 of the family's 1533-position model. The record is from RNAcentral.